Molecule: ribosomal RNA, 197 nt
Filed under: uncultured Glomus
Lineage: Eukaryota; Fungi; Glomeromycota; Glomeromycetes; Glomerales; Glomeraceae
Description: partial small subunit ribosomal RNA
Rfam family: Eukaryotic small subunit ribosomal RNA
Source: RNAcentral
UUGGAGGGCAAGUCUGGUGCCAGCAGCCGCGGUAAUUCCAGCUCCAAUAGCGUAUAUUAAAGUUGUUGCAGUUAAAAAGCUCGUAGUUGAAUUUCGGGAUCAAUAUAUCGGUCGUGCUUAGGUACGUACUGGUAUUAUUGAUUUCUCCCUUCUGAAGAACCAUGAUGUCAUUAAUUUGAUGUCGUGGGAAUCAGGAC